This is a long non-coding RNA of Rhododendron vialii, 2789 nucleotides long. RefSeq lists it as uncharacterized. The record is from RefSeq and is a predicted model, not a curated record. The transcript is spliced from 2 exons. Lineage: Eukaryota; Viridiplantae; Streptophyta; Magnoliopsida; Ericales; Ericaceae.
GUCAAGCAACUCAUUUCUCUUCUUCUCUGUAAUCUCUCUCUCUCUCUGCGAGCUUCGUUUUCAAGCUGGUACUGCUACAUUGCUGUUAGAAACCCACCAAAAACAUCAAGCAAAGUGCGAUCCCUCAAUCUUUUUAUCAUUAAUAAUAUUUCGAUUGAAGAAAAGGGAUGACGUGUUUUAUUUCCUAUAUUUUCGAGGAAACCAGACGAAGCUUGAAGCGCUGCUUAUGUAUAUUUUCUUGGAAACCAGACGAAACCACCAAGGCCAUCCACUGCUCCACUGCCUCAGGCCCUCGCCUCUGGCUGCCCGCAUGUGCUUCCUUCCACCGCCUCAACACACCAUGUACGGCCUCCGCUAAAGGAGUGGCUACGGCCGCUGCUGCGAUUCAGACAUCCUUUUCGGCUCCUCUGGAAUAGAGUAGGAAAAACGACCACUCGCAGCCGCCUAUGUAUACCGGGGUCUGGGUGCCCCCUCACUUCCAUUAGAUCCAUUACAACAAGAAGUGUAUGAGCCUACGUGAAAAGUUAAUGUUGAUUUUUGGUGAACCGGGUCAACGUCUGUCUGCAAGAUUGCUGAGGGAGGAGCAAGAAAAAAGACGUGGGAAACAUCAACAUUGAAUAGCUAGCCUAGGUGAGGAGAGCGAAGGAGAAACAAAAGCAAGAUGAUGAUCGGGACGAACGUCUAUUUAAACUAAUAGCUGAGGCAAGAGCUAAGAGAGAGCCGAAAUGUCAACGAUGCCAGAUCAGUAAAGUGACGGAUACACAGCUGCUGGAUUUCAGAAAGAGGGUCUUCGUGAGCGGGGUACGUGAAUGUUUACAUAAAUAAAAACUUGUGUUGAAGAAUUCUUCUAUUUGAUCGAAUUUAUUAGUAAACCGGGUCAACUCGGACUAGUCGGCGUCUCGGUGCUCCUUUUCCGCUCGACUACCGCUUAGCUAUUUUUAGAACAUUGGGGGUGUUACCAAUUAUUUCCAAAGUAGUUCUAUUCCUGUAACUCGGCUAUUUCCAACUCCGAAGGGAUAUUAUGGACGAUACUUUAGCAUGCAAUGAUCUACAAAGAUUAAAAACCUCCUUCUCACCAAAUCUUAUAUCCAAACAGGCCCAGCCCUAGGGCAAGGCCCUAGAGGCCGCGGCCUGGGGCCUCCAAAUUUGGGCCUAAAAUAUGGGCCCCCUUCUACAAUAAGUAUAUCAGGUCAAGGAGAUGGCUCGUUCUGGUUCUCCCACUCUCAACUUCCAGGCUAUUGUGAAAACUUUUUAAGGGUCAGGCAACUGUCGAGUUUAGUGCGCUUGAACCGUAAUCCUAUGUACUCCAAGGUACGCUUACGUGCUUAUACUGUUAUAUGUGUUUAUACUGUUCUUGGGUUGCUGAUUGUCUUGUGCGCGAUGUUACCAUCUCUUUUCAGAACACUAAAUUUGGUGAUUCAAAGUGAUCCUGUGGAAUUUUUCCCAUUUGUUUCGUUAGUGGUCUCCUUAGUUGUGAAAAGCACCUAAAAGUUACAUUUUCAUUGCAUUUUUCAAAUUUUUUAUACAAUCUUACAUCUUUUAAGGUAAUUUUUACUCAGUGGUGGUGGUUACCAUCACCCAAAUAUUAAAACUAAAUGAUUUAUCUACUUUUUGUCAGUUGGUUUCAAAAUUGUCCUUGCAUUUUUUUUCUGUAUCAAUCUCGUCUGUAUAAUAGUCAUUGUUCAAUGUUCAAUGUCACCCUUACCAUCAACUAGAAUAUGCUAACAAAGUCCAUGAAGUUUGCUUAUGAGGAGGUGACAUAGAGCCAACAUGAAUAACAUUAGAAAAACUAAGUGAAAAAAAGUGUUUUGCCUCCCUCAAUGUGUGAAAAGACUAGAAAAAAUCACAAAUUUCUAAAUCUUUAUAAAAACAAAAGAGACCCACAUUCCUAAUAAUUCCUUAUAUAAUAGGAAUGGUAGGUAUCUAAUAAUUCCUUUUUAGGAAUAGGGAGUAGGGCUAAUAUUAGGAUAUGUUGUAGAGUCUAUUAAAUUAAGGAAUGGAAAGAGCAUGGGACACUUGGUUGGUCUCCCCUCCCCUAUCGAGGGCUGGGAUUCUAACUUUGAUGGAUUGCCAGUUUUUCCUUGUUGUGAAGCCUGAUCUCUUUGGAUCCUUUUAAUCGUUGUAACUUGUUUCAAUGAUCAAUAAAAUCUUUCUUUUGCCGAGGAAAGAAAAAAGGGCAUGGGACACUUGUCGCGACGAGGGCCCUUUUCACAAAACGCGACAUUGCGUUAAUACAUAGUAUAGAUUUAUCUCUCUUAAAUUUUUUUUUUGGUCUUGUUUUUUUGUGUGCCAAGGGAGACGUUUAUUGGGGAUACGAGGAUGAAGAUGUAAACGAUCGGGCUACUGAGGCUAUCCGCUCGGUUCUCGUCUUUGCAUGUGGAGUUAUAGCAGGUGAAGACAACGUAUGGAUCCAAAGCACUUGCCCCCAGAAGAACGGGGCGACAACGGCUUGGUGCGGUUUCUGCACAUCUCUUCAGGCGGUGUAGGUAUCCAGACAUCAAUGGCAUCUCUCUGGAAAUUCCAUGAUCCAAAUCAUUGGUCAUGAACUAGUUUUUAUAUACCAUACAAAGAGGAUGAGCUUCCAGCAACAUCACGUAUAGAAAACAUACUUUCAUAGAUCAUGUUUGGUAAUAAUUUCAUUACAUAUGUCAGAAAAAGGAAGGAGGACUUGAUUUUGAGUUUGUGAGAGAUUGGAUCUAUUUGUGAACUUGUUUAUGUUUGGUUGGUUUAUGUUAAGGACUUGGGUAUGUAUGGUUUGUUCUACGAAUUUCAGAGAAAAUUGGAAGGCA